Molecule: ribosomal RNA, 2003 nt
Filed under: gut metagenome
Description: bacterial LSU rRNA
Rfam family: Bacterial large subunit ribosomal RNA
Source: RNAcentral
ACAAGCAAAAUAAGAGCAUCGGGUGGAUGCCUUGGCGUCGGAAGGCGAUGAAAGACGCGGUAAGCUGCGAUAAGCCUCGGGGAGGAGCUAAACAUCCCUUGAUCCGAGGAUUUCUGAAUGGGGAAACCCGGCGGGAGUCAUGUCCCGUCACUGGUAGACGAAUACAUAGUCUGCCAAGUGCCAACUCAGGGAAGUGAAACAUCUCAGUACCUGAAGGAAAGGAAAUCAAACGAGACUCCCUCAGUAGCGGCGAGCGAAGGGGGAAUAGCCCAAACCGUGUGGAUCCGUCCAUGCGGGGUUGUAGGGCCGGCAUACGUGAUUCUGGAGUAGGCAGGGGAAGGAAGCUGGAAAGCUUCGCCAGAGCGGGUGAUAGCCCCGUACCCGAAACUGAAAAGGACACAGCCGGUACCUGAGUACCGCGAGGCACGUGAAACCUCGUGGGAAUCUGGGAGGACCAUCUUCCAAGGCUAAGUACUAACCGACGACCGAUAGUGCACCAGUACCGUGAGGGAAAGGUGAAAAGAACCCCUGUCAGGGGAGUGAAAUAGAAUCUGAAACCUGAUGCUUACAAGCUGUGGGAGCACCCUUGUGGUGUGACCGCGUGCCUUUUGCAUAAUGAGUCAGCGAGUUAAUCUGUACUGCAAGGUUAAGCGUAAGUGGAGCCGUAGCGAAAGCGAGUCUGAUAAGGGCGUUUAGUAGUGCGGAUUAGACCCGAAACCGGGUGAUCUAUCCAUGAGCAGGUUGAAGCAAGGGUAAAACCUUGUGGAGGACCGAACCAUUAACGGCUGAAAACGUUUUGGAUGACUUGUGGAUAGGGGUGAAAGGCCAAUCAAACCCGGUGAUAGCUGGUUCUCCCCGAAAUAUAUUGAGGUAUAGCCUCAUGGAUUGUCUACCGGAGGUAAAGCACUGACAGAGCUAGGGGUCCUACCAGAUUACCAAACUCUUUCAAACUCAGAAUGCCGGUCAGAUGUACCAUGGGAGUCAGACAGUGGGUGCUAAGGUCCAUUGUCGAGAGGGUAAGAGCCCAGAUCAACAGCUAAGGUCUCCAAAUCUAUGCUCAGUGGUUAAGGUGGUGACGUUGUAGAGACACCCAGGACGUUGGCUUAGAAGCAGCCAUCGUUUAAAGAAAGCGUAAUAGCUCACUGGUCUAAUGACGUUGCGCCGAAAAUGUAACGGGGCUAAGCAUAGUACCGAAGCUUUGAAUUCCACGUAUGUGGUCUGGUAGGGGAGCGUUCUUCACGGGCAGAAGGUGUGCUGUAAAGCAUGCUGGACUGUGGAGAAGUGAUUAUGCUGACAUGAGUAACGAUAAAACGGGUGAAAAACCCGUUCGCCGUAAACCCAAGGUUUCCUGGGUAAAGGUAAUCUUCCCAGGGUUAGUCGGUCCCUAAGGUGAGGCUGAAAGGCGUAGCUGAUGGGAAACGAGUUAAUAUUCUCGUACUUGUACAUCUGUGCGAUGGAGGGACGCAGAAAGGUAGACAGGCCGGGUGUUGGUUGUCCCGGUGCAAGCAGGUAGACGUGUGGUACAGGCAAAUCCGUACCGCUCUACGUUGAGACGCGAGUCCGUGACCGUAAGGUCUGAAGCUGUUGAGCCUAUACUGCCUAGAAAAUCUUCUAAGUUUAGGAUGUGCAAACCGUACCGCAAACCAACUCAGGUGGGUGGGAUGAAUAAUCCAAGGCGCUCGAGAGAACUCUGGCCAAGGAACUCGGCAAAAUAACCCCGUACCUUCGGAAGAAGGGGUGCUCCUCCGGGUGAAGUUAAUUCACUUAACGAGCCUGAGGGAGCCGCAGAGAAAUGGUGGUGGCGACUGUUUACUAAAAACAUAGGUCUGUGCGAAGUCCUAAAGACGACGUAUACGGACUGACGCCUGCCCGGUGCCGGAAGGUUAAAAGGAGAGGUCAGCGCAAGCAAAGCUUCGAAUUGAAGCCCCGGUAAACGGCGGCCGUAACUAUAACGGUCCUAAGGUAGCGAAAUUCCUUGUCGGGUAAGUUCCGACCUGCACGAA